This is a long non-coding RNA of Passer domesticus (house sparrow), 3881 nucleotides long. RefSeq lists it as uncharacterized. The transcript is spliced from 4 exons. NCBI's taxonomy places the organism in Eukaryota, Metazoa, Chordata, Aves, Passeriformes, Passeridae. The record is from RefSeq and is a predicted model, not a curated record.
CAGAAAGCCCCCACCUGUGCGUAUGCAGGCAAUGAUUAGAGAGACACCUUUCAGUGGGCGGCCGGCAGUUUAGGGUUAAGGGCCGGUCCAGGUGAGGGAAGCCAAUGAGCGCCCGCCCGGGGCCGAGCCUGACAUCAUCCCGCCGGGGAGCGCCCAGCCCGGCCGGGGCAGCGCCGCCGCCGCCCAGCCCCGCCGUGAUGGAUGUUUACAGCUCCUCCGUGAAAGCCAAUUAUCUCGCUUUUGUGUGAGGCCCAGGGAUCGCUCAGGCUGCCUGCUCGCACACGGCGCUGCCGGAUCCAGCUGAAGCGAUUGUUUUCCCUGUGUCUGAUUCACAUUAUGUACCUGAGGGAUGGGGGUUUUUUCCCAGUAAUCAGUGUGUGCACUUGUACACACCUACCAACAAACAGCCAAACAUAACCUUAUACGGAGGAAUCACCUAUUCCUAAAGCAACUCUUACACUUCAGUAAACAUGCAGGUAUACAUAUAUUUAUACAUAAAUAAAGUUUAUCUUUGUUCAACAAAAAUUCUUCUGCAGUAUUCAAGUAAACACUAGUUCGUCACAGGGAUUCAGUGAAAUUAAGUACACUAGAAAUUCAGAGAAAUGGGUUAUGUAUUUUUAAAAAUUUGUUUCAUCCUUGGUUACUAACCUUUGUACUUAAUUUCCUCUGUUGUUUGAAUACUGUCUUAUUAAUCCAUUAUGUCAGAAGCAUAAUUCUUUCCUGGUUCCUGAACAAAUUAUUCACAAAGAGAAUAAAUUAAAAUGCUUCUGGGGGAACGAUCUGCUUUAUAAGCAACCCAGAUACCUAAUGUAUUAGACGUAAUUAAUAUGGUUAUCUGAAGCACUAAAAACUUUAAGUUGCAUUAUUAGAUAUUCUUUUGUUUCUUCAGAGGUUUUCAGUGUAACAGAGGUGCUGGUGCUCUUUACCCAUACUGACAGUGCUCACUGUGCAAGCACAUUCAAGAGAGAAAAUAAUCUCUUCCAUAGUCUAAUACCUUCUCCCUGCUUCACACACAAAUAAAGAAAGGAAAAGCAAAGUAGAAAGGCAAUUUUUUUAUACAGUUCUAAUUUCCAGUGAUGUCUUUUACUACAGAAGUAGUACAAAUGUAGCAGGAGUGAUGGCCAUGUUCGUUUUGCUUCAUCUCUCAAGCUGCCCAGAGUGUGUCUGCUUGGCCCAAUUUCUGCUAGUGGAGAUUCCAAGGCUCUAAGGUGUCAAAGAGAGAUAGAUGAAGUGGUAGGGUGAUUUAUGCUUAGUGCUUAUAUUAUGGGUAAAAAAAUCUGAUCAGGAAGACAUUAUUAUUUUGAUAAGAACCAUUUCCCUGUUGACUUUAAAUAGUUUAAGAUCUGCUUUCAAGAGCCUUCUAAGAUAGCUGUACAUUUCUGUCACUUGAAAUGGGAUUGAUUUAUCUUUCUGACCUGCCAAUUUCAAAAUGGAAAAGUUCUCUCCCAAAUCUUAAGGAAGAACUGAGAUCAAUCAUGGUGUACAAGAUCGCGUACUCUUACAGUGAUAAUGUUGGAAUUCCAUAGUCUUUUGUUGAACAUAGGUUUUUAGGUACAUGUAGCGUGGGAAUAAUUUUGACUCCUCCAAAUAUUCAAAAAUUUAGUUUUAUAUUGUUUUGGUUUGUUUUUUUCUCAAACUAAACCUGUAGUGUAACUGAGGCGUCUAUUCAGUCUGUGCUAAAAGAAUCUGCCCUUCUCCAUUUUUCCCAACCUCAUAGCUCUGCAAAGAUGAGACCUAAUCAUUUGUGUGCCUUCAUAACAAGACAUUAUAUUACCCAAAACCAAAGGAUAAGAUGUUUGAUAGUCCCUCUCUGUAAAGAUAUUAAGGCAUCAGUGCUUGGAUUGAAGUAAAUGGCAAGUUGGCAAAAAAGUGAAUUAACAGAACAGUACAAGGAUUUACAAGCACAGUUGUAAGCAAUGUUUGUUUUCAUAAGCAGCACAGAAAGCAAAUUCAGAAAGAACUUCUCAGUGUUAGGGGGAAAGGCUGAACCAACCACUUAGCAAAAUAAAAAAGCGUGAAAAAUGUGUAGGAGCAGUAGAACACUGCAGGUUUCUUAGAUAGUAGGAGGGAGCAGAGUUUGAUGAGCCUAAAGGUCCCUUUAAAUAUUCCAUCAUAUGAAAACAAUUAAUUUAAAUUCCUUUUCUAUCCAUAAUUGUAUAUUCAGUCAAUACUGGAAUAUAUGAUUCUUCUGAAGCACAUUUUACAGGAAGCCUUUGAAGUACUUCCCAGAUUAUAUGAUUUUAAAUGAUGCACAUCAGCAUUCCAUUGCUAAAAUACCAGGAAGGUCAUAGAGAUGUUUAUUCUUCCAUGUCAAUGUUUUUCCAUGAAUGACUUAAUUUUACAUUUUUUUUAAUUGAUGAUCAGACAAACACUUGUCACACUAAUGUUGAAAGAGAGCAUGUAAACUUACAUUACACAUUCUUAGAUAUGUUUUUAAGAGAGGAAAUUUUUUGACUGUAAAAAAAAGAAAAUUAGGGUUUUCUUACCAUGAAAUAUAUUUAUUUUCUAAAGAUUCUUUUGUUAAAGGCAUAGGAGUCUUUUAUUUUACACUUUAUUGUUAAAUUAUACUUUUUAAAUGUACCAACAGUGAAUAUGAAAUUUUUAUUCAAAUUUUUCCAAGUACUACUGUAGUAAUGUAGAACAAUUGAUUUCUUCUGCCCAAUUAUCUCCAUAAAUGUAAAAUACUAAUACUUUAAAUAUUAUUUUAAAAUUCUUAAAACCGUGAUUUAAAAAGUGCAUAGUCAUUUAUUUAUCUAUCAUAUCCAAAUGCAUCUCAUGAUCACUACAGACAUAAGAAGGCACAGUUCAUAUUUCCUUGACAACAUCCUUGAUAAUUGCUGAUAGCAUUCUCAUGCUGGCUGGAGACAGUUCCUUGGGGACUCAGUCCACAGAAUCUGUUUGUCUAGCUUGACUUUGCUGAUCCUAACAAGAAUGAAUUCCCUUAACACUGGUGAACUUAUAAACAUUGAGGCCUGUCUAAUCUGAUCUUGUAUGCAGACAUGAAGUAGGAUAAUUUUUGUACAGAACAAUUAUGUGUCUUAAAAAGAAAUCAUAUUCUGUUACAUAGCUCUUUCGGUGAAGUCUCAAGAGUAAAUUCUCCAUUCUCUUCAUCACAGCAGUCUAAACAAGAUAAAAUAGGUUCUUGUUACUCGGUUGUGUCUGAUAACAUCUGCAGCUGAAUUUUUCAGGAAUGUAAGUUUCAGUGGUCCACUUGAACAGUAAAAGGUUCAGCAAAAAAUUUAAGUUAUUUGUGUUCUGUUGCUAAGUGGUUGUGAGUCAUAGUUGCAAAUCACGUACAGAAACACAGAAUAGUUAAGGUUGUAAAAGAUGCCUAAGACCAGCAAGUCAUUAACCCAGAAUCACUGCUCUCAACACAAACCCAUAUCCCCAAACUCCAAAUCUGCACACCUUUUGACCUCUUCCAGGGAUGGUGAUUCUACCACUUUUCCAGGCAGAAGGUACACAUUUCUACCUGUCUGGAGCAGGUGAUGAUUUUAUGAAAAUGUAAUUGUAGACACUUUUGUGAAUAUGGCAGAUCUUCAUGUAUUGCAGAUUCUAGUCUGAGUAUGGGCAGAUAAGGUAAUAGAGAAAAAGAGCUAUUAGGAUUGUCACUGAAAUUGAAUGGCUUGAAGGGUUUACAUUCGAGAGCUACAUAUAUAUCAAUCAAUACAUUUUUUUUGUCGCAAACAUUUUGUGUAGUCAGGACAAGAAAAUCUGCUUAUUCUGAAAUAAAUAUCACUAAUGUACUUGAAUAAUGAGAGAUACUGCCAUUUUCUGAGACAGAAGCAAGAACAGUAAACAUCACUGCACAAUGGAAAGAUAUUUCCCCUUCAGAUAUUAUUGCUGUAUCUUCUUAGAACUGGAGUUAGCUGAAUCAAAUC